AGAACGAACGCUGGCGGCAGGCCUAACACAUGCAAGUCGAGCGCUCCGCAAGGGGAGCGGCGCACGGGAGAGUAACGCGUGGGAACCUACCUUUUGGUUCGGAAUAACAUCGGGAAACUGGUGCUAAUACCGGAUAAGCCCUUCGGGGGAAAGAUUUAUUGCCAAAAGAUGGGCCCGCGUUGGAUUAGCUAGUUGGUGAGGUAAUGGCUCACCAAGGCAACGAUCCAUAGCUGGUUUGAGAGGAUGAUCAGCCUCACUGGGACUGAGACACGGCCCAGACUCCUACGGGAGGCAGCAGUGGGGAAUAUUGGACAAUGGGGGCAACCCUGAUCCAGCCAUGCCGCGUGAAUGAUGAAGGCCUUCGGGUUGUAAAGUUCUUUUGACGGGGAAGAUGAUGACGGUACCCGUAGAAUAAGCUCCGGCUAACUUCGUGCCAGCAGCCGC
RNAcentral lists this ribosomal RNA (444 nucleotides) under uncultured bacterium. RNAcentral's name for it is "SSU rRNA". It matches the Rfam family "Bacterial small subunit ribosomal RNA", at positions 26 to 518 of the family's 1533-position model. The record is from RNAcentral.